GGGUGCGAUCAUACCAGCACUAAUGCACCGGAUCCCAUCAGAACUCCGCAGUUAAGCGUGCUUGGGCGAGAGUAGUACCAGGAAGGGUGACCUCACGGGAAGUCCUCGUGUUGCACCCC
Brassica rapa (field mustard) is the source of this 119-nucleotide non-coding RNA. NCBI's taxonomy places the organism in Eukaryota, Viridiplantae, Streptophyta, Magnoliopsida, Brassicales, Brassicaceae. The record is from Rfam.